Molecule: ribosomal RNA, 253 nt
Filed under: uncultured bacterium
Lineage: Bacteria
Description: partial 16S ribosomal RNA
Rfam family: Bacterial small subunit ribosomal RNA
Source: RNAcentral
UACGUAGGGUGCGAGCGUUAAUCGGAAUUACUGGGCGUAAAGCGUGCGCAGGCGGUUUUGUAAGUCGGAGGUGAAAUCCCCGGGCUUAACCUGGGAAUGGCAUUCGGGACUGCAAGGCUGGAGUGCGGCAGAGGAGACUGGAAUUCCUGGUGUAGCAGUGAAAUGCGUAGAUAUCAGGAGGAACACCGAUGGCGAAGGCAGGUCUCUGGGCUGACACUGACGCUCAUGCACGAAAGCGUGGGGAGCAAACAGG